This 423-nucleotide ribosomal RNA is filed under the name uncultured prokaryote. Its description in RNAcentral is "bacterial SSU rRNA". It matches the Rfam family "Bacterial small subunit ribosomal RNA", at positions 355 to 774 of the family's 1533-position model. The record is from RNAcentral.
UGAGGAAUGUUGGUCAAUGGGCGCAAGCCUGAACCAGCCAUCCCGCGUGCAGGAAGACGGCGCUAUGCGUUGUAAACUGCUUUUCCAGGGGGAGAAACUUGCGCACGUGUUGCGCAAUUGACGGUACCCUGGGAAUAAGCAUCGGCUAACUCCGUGCCAGCAGCCGCGGUAAUACGUAGGUGGCGAGCGUUAUCCGGAUUUACUGGGCGUAAAGGGAGCGUAGGCGGAUGAUUAAGUCAGUGGUGAAAUCCUGCAGCUUAACUGCAGAACUGCCAUUGAUACUGAUAGCCUUGAGUUUGGUUAAGGUAGGCGGAAUGUGUAAUGUAGCGGUGAAAUGCUUAGAUAUUACACAGAACACCAAUUGCGUAGGCAGCUUACUGAGCCGACACUGACGCUGAGGCACGAAAGCGUGGGGAUCGAACA